GUGCAGCAGGCGAGAAUUUUUCUCAAUGGGCGAAAGCCUGAAGGAGCGACGCCGCGUGGGGGAUGAAUGGCUUCGGCCCGUAAACCCUGUCAUUUGUGACAAAUUGCUUCACCUAACACGUGAAGCAUUGAUUGUAACGGAAGAGGAAGGGACGGCUAACUCUGUGCCAGCAGCCGCGGUAAUACAGAGGUCCCAAGCGUUGUUCGGAUUCACUGGGCGUAAAGGGUGCGUAGGCGGUUUGAUAAGUCUGAUGUGAAAUCCCGCAGCUUAACUGCGGAACUGCAUUGGAAACUGUUUGACUAGAGGAAUGGAGGGGAGACUGGGAAUACUUGGUGUAGCAGUGAAAUGCGUAGAUAUCAAGUGGAACACCAGUGGCGAAGGCGAGUCUCUGGACAUUUCCUGACGCUGAGGUACGAAAGCCAGGGGAGCAAACGGGAUUAGAUACCCCGGUAGU
RNAcentral lists this ribosomal RNA (454 nucleotides) under uncultured organism. RNAcentral's name for it is "bacterial SSU rRNA". It matches the Rfam family "Bacterial small subunit ribosomal RNA", at positions 346 to 794 of the family's 1533-position model. The record is from RNAcentral.